Molecule: long non-coding RNA, 1919 nt
Filed under: Gigantopelta aegis
Lineage: Eukaryota; Metazoa; Mollusca; Gastropoda; Neomphalida; Peltospiridae
Description: uncharacterized LOC121380189
Source: RNAcentral
AAAAGUGCUAUAUGAGAAAACAUAGUGUAAUUAAUUGUGGUCUGAGGCCUGAUAUAGUGGGAUGUUUGACACAGGGUGACACACUUUAAUACUUAAUUGUCAGGUAACUAUAACGGUUACAGGACUGAAAAUGUACAGGCUAAUUGUCAAGAUAGGUAGAAAUCUGAAACUAAUCAGUUUGAAUGAUGAUUUUAUUUAUUUUUUAAAUUAUAUUAAAUUAAAUUAUAUUUAUAUUUCAAAAUUUGUAAUUUCACAAAUUUUGGCAUGAUUUUUGCCUUCAUUGUACCCCUAUCAGGUCAUAGGUCAUUCUUUUCAAUCAGAAUGUAUUCUUACACCUUGUGGCAGCCUCACUUUGAAGGUUAAGAUUAAAUAAGUCAAUAUGGAGGAUUUAUUUAAUGAUGUUUGAUACAGGGUGACACACUUUGAUACCUAAUUGUGAUCCUGCACCUAAUCAUGAAUGUAUAAUAUGGAAUGGGCCCCCAGACCAAAUGGAUAUGGUGCUAUUAAAUUCAAAUCACCAAUCACAGGCCAGUAUCAUACAGUAAAUGCUCACAGAUUAAGUUUCAUGGUCUUUAAUAAGGAGAUGGACAUAGAUGGCAGAGACAUCAGUCACCUGUGCCAUAACCGUCUUUGUAUGUUUAAAGAUCAAUUAUCUGCUGAGCCACAUGCAAUAAACAGCUCAUGAAUACAGUGUGUGAACAGGAAUGUCUGUCAGGGACAUGGGCAAUACACACACACACACACACACACACACACACACACACACACACACACCGCGCCUCUUGCAUCUCAGAAUGCAAAACUUAUAAUAAUGUAAAACAAUAACAAAGGUUAAUUUAAAUUAAAAUAAUUAUGUCAUAAAAUCACAUAUAAAUAUCACAUCAUACAUUUAUUCAACAUCAUACAUUUAUUCACAUGACUGUUUUGGAAUGUAUAAAUUCACUCUUCAAUGCCUAGGGUUUAUGUCCACAGCAGAAAUGCUAUCAAGCAAACUGAUAGUUCCUACAUUAUAUGUAUAACUUGAAACUGUCACAAAAACUAUUUUGAAUAACCGUGGUCACAGGAGUUAUCUGCUCUUUGACUGUCAAUAUCUAAUAAUCCUUUCUUAUAGUCAGCUUGCUGAUCUCUGUGUAAAUGUUUAUAUUGUAAGUGAUCUCUAAUUUUACUUCCAUGCUAGACUAAGUGCCUUUUAACCACCUGUGGAUUCUUUUGGUAUCGUUUUUCAUAGUCCGACUCUUUGUCCAUCUGAUGUAACGAAUGCGCCACCCGAGCUGACAGUUCGAUGCCACAGUACUUGCAUUUUUCUAUCGUCGAUGUUCCCGGGGCAUUGUUCAGCCUAUGGGUGGUGGAUGCAGCUCUUCCAGUCAUCGUUCGUGAACAGUUCACAAUUUUAGCUCUGUGAUUCGGUGUGUACCCAGGAACAUGAAUCGGUGCCACCAGUUGUUCGUUACUCCUCCACUGCAGACGACUGAGUACCGUGAACACUUUGAACAAUCACCACCGUAGCAUGAAAGUGUUGAUUGCAGAACCUUUGAUGCAGUACAUUUACUCUUAAUGGGACGUAGCAGGCAGACUGGCUGUGAGGCACCUUCGCAAUCUGGAGUGAAGAUGGUGGCUAAAGUGGAACUCGACUUCGUGACCAAGGCAAACUCCUCUAUAUUCAUCCGGACUACAGGUCGCAACUUCUUAGUCUCCGAUGAUUCUGGACUUGCAUGUUCAUGUGGCAGAGUUUUACCCUUAUUCCAAGGUGUAUGCCCCUUCUUGAACUGUGUCUUUCGUCUUGUAUUGCCUUCCAUGGAUGUGACUUGUAGUGUAUAAAACAGUGAAAUACUUAUUGUGGUAUACAUGUCCACACUUAUAUAUGCCAGGCCAUGUGUGAUGUCACCUUCAGUUUCGAUACAUUAAAACAUUUCAAUGCA